GGUAACCUGCCUGUAAGACUGGGAUAACUCCGGGAAACCGGGGCUAAUACCGGAUGCUUGUUUGAACCGCAUGGUUCAAACAUAAAAGGUGGCUUCGGCUACCACUUACAGAUGGACCCGCGGCGCAUUAGCUAGUUGGUGAGGUAAUGGCUCACCAAGGCAACGAUGCGUAGCCGACCUGAGAGGGUGAUCGGCCACACUGGGACUGAGACACGGCCCAGACUCCUACGGGAGGCAGCAGUAGGGAAUCUUCCGCAAUGGACGAAAGUCUGACGGAGCAACGCCGCGUGAGUGAUGAAGGUUUUCGGAUCGUAAAGCUCUGUUGUUAGGGAAGAACAAGUACCGUUCGAAUAGGGCGGUACCUUGACGGUACCUAACCAGAAAGCCACGGCUAACUACGUGCCAGCAGCCGCGGUAAUACGUAGGUGGCAAGCGUUGUCCGGAAUUAUUGGGCGUAAAGGGCUCGCAGGCGGUUUCUUAAGUCUGAUGUGAAAGCCCCCGGCUCAACCGGGGAGGGUCAUUGGAAACUGGGGAACUUGAGUGCAGAAGAGGAGAGUGGAAUUCCACGUGUAGCGGUGAAAUGCGUAGAGAUGUGGAGGAACACCAGUGGCGAAGGCGACUCUCUGGUCUGUAACUGACGCUGAGGAGCGAAAGCGUGGGGAGCGAACAGGAUUAGAUACCCUGGUAGUCCACGCCGUAAACGAUGAGUGCUAAGUGUUAGGGGGUUUCCGCCCCUUAGUGCUGCAGCUAACGCAUUAAGCACUCCGCCUGGGGAGUACGGUCGCAAGACUGAAACUCAAAGGAAUUGACGGGGGCCCGCACAAGCGGUGGAGCAUGUGGUUUAAUUCGAAGCAACGCGAAGAACCUUACCAGGUCUUGACAUCCUCUCACCAUCCUAGAGAUAGGACGUCCCCUUCGGGGGCAGAGUGACAGGUGGUGCAUGGUUGUCGUCAGCUCGUGUCGUGAGAUGUUGGGUUAAGUCCCGCAACGAGCGCAACCCUUGAUCUUAGUUGCCAGCAUUCAGUUGGGCACUCUAAGGUGACUGCCGGUGACAAACCGGAGGAAGGUGGGGAUGACGUCAAAUCAUCAUGCCCCUUAUGACCUGGGCUACACACGUGCUACAAUGGACAGAACAAAGGGCAGCGAAACCGCGAGGUUAAGCCAAUCCCACAAAUCUGUUCUCAGUUCGGAUCGCAGUCUGCAACUCGACUGCGUGAAGCUGGAAUCGCUAGUAAUCGCGGAUCAGCAUGCCGCGGUGAAUACG
This 1264-nucleotide ribosomal RNA is filed under the name Bacillus halotolerans. Its description in RNAcentral is "bacterial SSU rRNA". It matches the Rfam family "Bacterial small subunit ribosomal RNA", at positions 120 to 1370 of the family's 1533-position model. Lineage: Bacteria; Bacillati; Bacillota; Bacilli; Caryophanales; Bacillaceae. The record is from RNAcentral.